UUAAGCGACUAAGCGUACACGGUGGAUGCCCUGGCAGUCAGAGGCGAUGAAGGACGUGCUAAUCUGCGAAAAGCGUCGGUAAGGUGAUAUGAACCGUUAUAGCCGGCGAUGUCCGAAUGGGGAAACCCAGUGUGAUUCGUCACACUAUCGUUAACUGAAUACAUAGGUUAACGAGGCGAACCGGGGGAACUGAAACAUCUAAGUACCCCGAGGAAAAGAAAUCAACCGAGAUUCCCCCAGUAGCGGCGAGCGAACGGGGAGCAGCCCAGAGUCUGAAUCAGCUUGUGUGUUAGUGGAACGGUCUGGAAAGUCCGACGGUACAGGGUGAUAGUCCCGUACACCAAAAUGCACAGGCUGUGAACUCGAAGAGUAGGGCGGGACACGUGGUAUCCUGUCUGAAUAUGGGGGGACCAUCCUCCAAGGCUAAAUACUCCUGACUGACCGAUAGUGAACCAGUACCGUGAGGGAAAGGCGAAAAGAACCCCGGCGAGGGGAGUGAAAAAGAACCUGAAACCGUGUACGUACAAGCAGUGGGAGCACCUUUAUGGUGUGACUGCGUACCUUUUGUAUAAUGGGUCAGCGACUUAUAUUCUGUAGCAAGGUUAACCGUAUAGGGGAGCCGCAGGGAAACCGAGUCUUAACUGGGCGUUAAGUUGCAGGGUAUAGACCCGAAACCCGGUGAUCUAGCCAUGGGCAGGUUGAAGGUUGGGUAACACUAACUGGAGGACCGAACCGACUAAUGUUGAAAAAUUAGCGGAUGACUUGUGGCUGGGGGUGAAAGGCCAAUCAAACCGGGAGAUAGCUGGUUCUCCCCGAAAGCUAUUUAGGUAGCGCCUCGUGAACUCAUCUUCGGGGGUAGAGCACUGUUUCGGCUAGGGGGUCAUCCCGACUUACCAACCCGAUGCAAACUACGAAUACCGAAGAAUGUUAUCACGGGAGACACACGGCGGGUGCUAACGUCCGUCGUGAAGAGGGAAACAACCCAGACCGCCAGCUAAGGUCCCAAAGUCAUGGUUAAGUGGGAAACGAUGUGGGAAGGCACAGACAGCCAGGAUGUUGGCUUAGAAGCAGCCAUCAUUUAAAGAAAGCGUAAUAGCUCACUGGUCGAGUCGGCCUGCGCGGAAGAUGUAACGGGGCUAAACCAUGCACCGAAGCUGCGGCAGCGACACGAUGUGUUGUUGGGUAGGGGAGCGUUCUGUAAGCCUGCGAAGGUGGCCUGUGAGGGUUGCUGGAGGUAUCAGAAGUGCGAAUGCUGACAUAAGUAACGAUAAAGCGGGUGAAAAGCCCGCUCGCCGGAAGACCAAGGGUUCCUGUCCAACGUUAAUCGGGGCAGGGUGAGUCGACCCCUAAGGCGAGGCCGAAAGGCGUAGUCGAUGGGAAACAGGUUAAUAUUCCUGUACUUGGUGUUACUGCGAAGGGGGGACGGAGAAGGCUAUGUUAGCCGGGCGACGGUUGUCCCGGUUUAAGCAUGUAGGCUGGUUAUCCAGGCAAAUCCGGAUAAUCAAGGCUGAGGUGUGAUGACGAGGCACUACGGUGCUGAAGUAACAAAUGCCCUGCUUCCAGGAAAAGCCUCUAAGCAUCAGGUAACAUCAAAUCGUACCCCAAACCGACACAGGUGGUCAGGUAGAGAAUACCAAGGCGCUUGAGAGAACUCGGGUGAAGGAACUAGGCAAAAUGGUGCCGUAACUUCGGGAGAAGGCACGCUGGUGUGUAGGUGAAGUCCCUGCGGAUGGAGCUGAGACCAGUCGAAGAUACCAGCUGGCUGCAACUGUUUAUUAAAAACACAGCACUGUGCAAACACGAAAGUGGACGUAUACGGUGUGACGCCUGCCCGGUGCCGGAAGGUUAAUUGAUGGGGUUAUCCGUAAGGAGAAGCUCUUGAUCGAAGCCCCGGUAAACGGCGGCCGUAACUAUAACGGUCCUAAGGUAGCGAAAUUCCUUGUCGGGUAAGUUCCGACCUGCACGAAUGGCGUAAUGAUGGCCAGGCUGUCUCCACCCGAGACUCAGUGAAAUUGAACUCGCUGUGAAGAUGCAGUGUACCCGCGGCAAGACGGAAAGACCCCGUGAACCUUUACUAUAGCUUGACACUGAACAUUGAGCCUUGAUGUGUAGGAUAGGUGGGAGGCUUUGAAGCGUGGACGCCAGUCUGCGUGGAGCCAACCUUGAAAUACCACCCUUUAAUGUUUGAUGUUCUAACGUUGGCCCCUUAUCGGGGUUGCGGACAGUGUCUGGUGGGUAGUUUGACUGGGGCGGUCUCCUCCCAAAGCGUAACGGAGGAGCACGAAGGUUAGCUAAUCCUGGUCGGACAUCAGGAGGUUAGUGCAAUGGCAUAAGCUAGCUUGACUGCGAGCGUGACGGCGCGAGCAGGUGCGAAAGCAGGUCAUAGUGAUCCGGUGGUUCUGAAUGGAAGGGCCAUCGCUCAACGGAUAAAAGGUACUCCGGGGAUAACAGGCUGAUACCGCCCAAGAGUUCAUAUCGACGGCGGUGUUUGGCACCUCGAUGUCGGCUCAUCACAUCCUGGGGCUGAAGUAGGUCCCAAGGGUAUGGCUGUUCGCCAUUUAAAGUGGUACGCGAGCUGGGUUUAGAACGUCGUGAGACAGUUCGGUCCCUAUCUGCCGUGGGCGCUGGAGAAUUGAGGGGGGCUGCUCCUAGUACGAGAGGACCGGAGUGGACGCAUCACUGGUGUUCGGGUUGUCAUGCCAAUGGCACUGCCCGGUAGCUAAAUGCGGAAGAGAUAAGUGCUGAAAGCAUCUAAGCACGAAACUUGCCCCGAGAUGAGUUCUCCCUGAGACUUUAAGUCUCCUGAAGGAACGUUGAAGACGACGACGUUGAUAGGCCGGGUGUGUAAGCGCAGCGAUGCGUUGAGCUAACCGGUACUAAUGAACCGUGAGGCUUAACCUU
RNAcentral lists this ribosomal RNA (2901 nucleotides) under Klebsiella quasipneumoniae subsp. similipneumoniae. RNAcentral describes it as "bacterial LSU rRNA". It matches the Rfam family "Bacterial large subunit ribosomal RNA". The record is from RNAcentral. Lineage: Bacteria; Pseudomonadati; Pseudomonadota; Gammaproteobacteria; Enterobacterales; Enterobacteriaceae.